UACGUAGGGCGCAAGCGUUUGUCCGGAAUUAUUGGGCGUAAAGAGCUCGUAGGUGGUCCCGUAAGUCCGCUGUGAAAGUCAAAGGCUCAACCUUUGAAAGCCGGUGGAUACUGUCGGGCUAGAGUACGGAAGAGGCGAGUGGAAUUCCUGGUGUAGCGGUGAAAUGCGCAGAUAUCAGGAGGAACACCAGUGGCGAAGGCGACUACCUGGCCUGUUCUUGACGCUGAGGCGCGAAAGCUAGGGGAGCAAACGGGG
This 255-nucleotide ribosomal RNA is filed under the name uncultured bacterium. Its description in RNAcentral is "partial 16S ribosomal RNA". It matches the Rfam family "Bacterial small subunit ribosomal RNA", at positions 524 to 777 of the family's 1533-position model. The record is from RNAcentral.